RNAcentral lists this ribosomal RNA (186 nucleotides) under Saccharomyces sp. RNAcentral describes it as "partial large subunit ribosomal RNA". It matches the Rfam family "Eukaryotic large subunit ribosomal RNA", at positions 166 to 352 of the family's 3401-position model. Lineage: Eukaryota; Fungi; Ascomycota; Saccharomycetes; Saccharomycetales; Saccharomycetaceae. The record is from RNAcentral.
UUUUCCGUUCCUGUCUAUGUUCCUUGGAACAGGACGUCAUAGAGGGUGAGAAUCCCGUGUGGCGAGGAGUGCGGUUCUUUGUAAAGUGCCUUCGAAGAGUCGAGUUGUUUGGGAAUGCAGCUCUAAGUGGGUGGUAAAUCCAUCUAAAGCUAAAUAUUGGCGAGAGACCGAUAGCGAACAAAACUC